This 447-nucleotide ribosomal RNA is filed under the name uncultured bacterium. RNAcentral describes it as "bacterial SSU rRNA". It matches the Rfam family "Bacterial small subunit ribosomal RNA", at positions 29 to 521 of the family's 1533-position model. The record is from RNAcentral.
AACGAACGCUGGCGGCAUGCCUAACACAUGCAAGUCGAACGAGACCUUCGGGUCUAGUGGCGCACGGGUGCGUAACGCGUGGGAAUCUGCCCUUGGGUUCGGAAUAACUCAGAGAAAUUUGAGCUAAUACCGGAUGAUGACGUAAGUCCAAAGAUUUAUCGCCCAAGGAUGAGCCCGCGUAGGAUUAGCUAGUUGGUGAGGUAAAGGCUCACCAAGGCGACGAUCCUUAGCNGGUCUGAGAGGAUGAUCAGCCACACUGGGACUGAGACACGGCCCAGACUCCUACGGGAGGCAGCAGUGGGAAUAUUGGACAAUGGGCGAAAGCCUGAUCCAGCAAUGCCGCGUGAGUGAUGAAGGCCUUAGGGUUGUAAAGCUCUUCCUACCCGGGAUGAUAAUGACAGUACCGGGAGAAUAAGCUCCGGCUAACUCCGUGCCAGCCGCCGCAGU